CCUACGGGUGGCAGCAGUCGAGAAUCAUUCACAAUGGGGGAAACCCUGAUGGUGCGACGCCGCGUGGGGGAAUGAAGGUCUUCGGAUUGUAAACCCCUGUCAUGUGGGAGCAAAUUAAAAAGAUAGUACCACAAGAGGAAGAGACGGCUAACUCUGUGCCAGCAGCCGCGGUAAUACAGAGGUCUCAAGCGUUGUUCGGAAUCACUGGGCGUAAAGCGGGCGUAGGCUGUUUCGUAAGUCGUGUGUGAAAGGUGCGGGCUCAACCCGCGGACGGCACAUGAUACUGCGAGACUAGAGUAAUGGAGGGGGAACCGGAAUUCUCGGUGUAGCAGUGAAAUGCGUAGAUAUCGAGAGGAACACUCGUGGCGAAGGCGGGUUCCUGGACAUUAACUGACGCUGAGGCACGAAGGCCAGGGGAGCGAAAGGGAUUAGAUACCCGUGUAGUC
This 446-nucleotide ribosomal RNA is filed under the name uncultured bacterium. Its description in RNAcentral is "partial 16S ribosomal RNA". It matches the Rfam family "Bacterial small subunit ribosomal RNA", at positions 338 to 795 of the family's 1533-position model. The record is from RNAcentral.